CCUACGGGAGGCAGCAGUGAGGAAUAUUGGUCAAUGGACGAGAGUCUGAACCAGCCAAGUAGCGUGAAGGAUGACUGCCCUAUGGGUUGUAAACUUCUUUUAUAUGGGAAUAAAAUGUUCCACGUGUGGGAUUUUGUAUGUACCAUAUGAAUAAGGAUCGGCUAACUCCGUGCCAGCCGCCGCGGUAAUACGGAGGAUACGAGCGUUAUCCGGAUUGAUUGGGUUUAAAGGGAACGGAGGUGGAUGGUUGAGUCAGAUGUGAAAGCUUGGGGCUGAACCUGAAAAUUGCAGUUGAAACUGGUCGGCUUGAGUCUAGUAGAGGUGGGUGGAAUUCGUGGUGUAGCGGUGAAAUGCGUAGAGAUCACGAAGAAUUCCGAUUGCGAAGGCAGUUCACUGGACUGCAACUGACACUGAGGCUCGAAAGUGUGGGUAUCAAACAGGAUUAGAUACCCCUGUAGUC
This 460-nucleotide ribosomal RNA is filed under the name uncultured bacterium. Its description in RNAcentral is "partial 16S ribosomal RNA". It matches the Rfam family "Bacterial small subunit ribosomal RNA", at positions 338 to 795 of the family's 1533-position model. The record is from RNAcentral.